This 110-nucleotide Y RNA is filed under the name Prolemur simus (greater bamboo lemur). Its description in RNAcentral is "Y RNA (ENSPSMG00000018475.1)". It matches the Rfam family "Y RNA". From Rfam's summary of the family: Y RNAs are components of the Ro ribonucleoprotein particle (Ro RNP), in association with Ro60 and La proteins. The Y RNAs and Ro60 and La proteins are well conserved, but the function of the Ro RNP is not known. The record is from Rfam by way of RNAcentral. Lineage: Eukaryota; Metazoa; Chordata; Mammalia; Primates; Lemuridae.
GGCUUGUCUGAAGGUAGUGAGUUAUCUCAAUUGCUUGUUCAUAGUCAGUUGCAGAUUGAACUCCUUCUACUCUUUCACCCCUUAUCACUACUGCACUUGACUAGUCUUAA